This 233-nucleotide ribosomal RNA is filed under the name uncultured bacterium. Its description in RNAcentral is "partial 16S ribosomal RNA". It matches the Rfam family "Bacterial small subunit ribosomal RNA", at positions 116 to 334 of the family's 1533-position model. The record is from RNAcentral.
CGUAGGUAAUCUACCUUCGGAUGGGGAAUAACAACCGGAAACGGUUGCUAAUACCGCAUAAUGCAGCGGCACCUAAUGGUGACAGUUGUUAAAGCGGGGGAUCGCAAGACCUCGCGUCUGAAGAGGAGCCUGCGGCGGAUUAGCUAGUUGGUAAGGUAACGGCUUACCAAGGCGACGAUCGGUAGCCGGCCUGAGAGGGCGGUCGGCCACACUGACACUGACAUACGGGUCAG